Pseudopipra pipra is the source of this 1051-nucleotide long non-coding RNA. RefSeq lists it as uncharacterized. The transcript is spliced from 2 exons. NCBI's taxonomy places the organism in Eukaryota, Metazoa, Chordata, Aves, Passeriformes, Pipridae. The record is from RefSeq and is a predicted model, not a curated record.
CUGAUGUUAGAGGUGGUUUUUGUCAGGCUUUGGUGCGACCUUUUAACAACUCACUGGGAACAUGGGAGAAGGCAGAGCAACAGGAGCAGAGGGCAGAUGAGCUAGAGAAACAAAUCUGUCUAAGCACAAGGGACUGUAAGGCUUCAGGAUCCCUCCUUCUAAAGGCAACUGAAAAGAACAGUCAUAUUUCAAAGAAACCGGAGAAGUUACUCAAUACUUUGUAGGAUCCUAAUGGGAGAUCCUUUGUGACAUCCUGGGAGCAAAGCUGGAAUCAUGCCAUACUGUCUCCUUGGAGCAGGGUGGAUUGGUAGAAUGGAUCAUAAUGGGAAGUCCCCUGGUUUUAACAGUGACCCACUGAACAAACCAUAGCAUAGACAACUGCUGAAACUGCAUUUUGGAGGCACACAGAGGUUCAUGCUUAGAAGAGUUGAUGGGAGACUUCCUGCAAGGAGAAGACAACCCAAGGAACAACCCCAUCUAUUGCCAGAUGGCCACACAGGGAGUGUGACCUUGUCUCACAAGAUGACAAGAUUUAUUCUGCUCCUUUUGAUAGGACAUUGAUUAAGGCUUCCAUGCUUAAAAAGAUUGUUAUGAAUGUCCAACUGCUUGUGAACAGACCAGAAAGGCAGAAUCCAUCAAAACCACCAAACUGAGCUGAACUCAAAACAAGCCUCGAGACCCCUGGCAUAUCAGGAACCCAAACAAACCGUGCUGCCAGUGCUGUCGGGGCCGUGGGUCAGCUGGCUGUGCUCCCAGCAGUGUGCCUCGCAGUCCAGAGGGGAUGAGCUCACCACGCAGGGAGCCUGGAGACCAAACCCGAGCGGGAGGGCAGUCUGUCUGUCUCACACUCGCUCUGACAGCGAGACAGGGCCAGUCAUACACUCAUUCAAGAAAAAUGGCUGGUUUGAGCGGAUGCAGCCGCUCGUUCCUCAUGCUCCUUGGGUGAUGGCCUCAGCAAGGGCAGCUCAGCGGGGCUUUGCCGACAGAGCCGCAUCGUUCUGAAAGUGCUCUCUUGGAAAUAAAGAUCAGCUGCAGGUGCUGUGAAGUGGGA